GAUGAACGCUGGCGGCGUGCCUAAUACAUGCAAGUCGAGCGAACAGAUGAGGAGCUUGCUCCUCUGACGUUAGCGGCGGACGGGUGAGUAACAUGUGGAUAACCUACCUAUAAGACUGGGAUAACUUCGGGAAACCGGAGCUAAUACCGGAGAAUAUAUUGAACCGCAUGGUUCAAUAGUGAAAGUCGGUUUUGCUGUCACUUAUAGCUGGAUCCGCGCCGCAUUAGCUAGUUGGUAAGGUAACGGCUUACCAAGGCAACGAUGCGUAGCCGACCUGAGAGGGUGAUCGGCCACACUAGAACGGAGACACGGUCCAGACUCCUACGGGAGGCAGCAGUAGGGAAUCGUCCGCAAUGGGCGAAAGCCUGACGGAGCAACGCCGCGUGAGUGAUGAAGGUCUUCGGAUCGUAAAACUCUGUUAUUAGGGAAGAACAAAUGUGUAAGUAACUAUGCACGUCUUGACGGUACCUAAUCAGAAAGCCACGGCUAACUACGUG
RNAcentral lists this ribosomal RNA (497 nucleotides) under uncultured bacterium. RNAcentral describes it as "partial 16S ribosomal RNA". It matches the Rfam family "Bacterial small subunit ribosomal RNA", at positions 28 to 507 of the family's 1533-position model. The record is from RNAcentral.